UUGUCUUGAGAAAGUAUAUGCUUAUACAUUGGACAAUCUUAAUGAUAUUAGACACGCUCUACGUAUGCUAAAGAAAUGUGGGCCACUCCUGGCGGUUAUUUAUAUUAGUCAAGAUUAUAACAAAUGUGUCAAAACAGUAGAGGUCUAUAAAUAUGAUCCAAAAUUUCCCGUUGGAAAUGAGAAAAAGCCAAUAACACAUGCAAUAACCGUAGUAUCUUUUGCUCUUGAGAAUGGGCCAUUUUUUCAUUGUCAAGACUCUCAAGGCCUUACUCAUGGUGAAGGUGGCUAUCUUAAAGUCGAUGUUACCUCAAUAAAGGAACUAUAUGCAUUCACAAUAAAGUAAUUGAGGGGCUGACUUGGAAUAUGAACUUAAUACCAAGGAAAUUAUUGGGUAUCUUUUCCUGUUCUGUAGAGGUGCCCUCUGUGGGUCGUGUAUGACUCUUGUCAGUUGUAAGGUUCCAGGGUUGCUGAAGAGUUGGGACACACUGGACAAUGCAAAAUAAACUUUGCUGUGUGAAAUACAUCAGCUUAAGGUCCUCAUCAGUGGGGUUCUGAAGGUCAAAAGCUUUGGGACAAGUUGUUGUAAUAUUGGGAGUAAAGCAUUUAUACUGCAGAAAAAACACUUUAGUUGCCGUUCUAAGUUUGGAUACUAGCGUGCGCUGGUGUAGGCUUCAAAGGAGCAAAACAGUUCAUUGGUCUUCAAUAAGGAGCAGUCGAAGUGUUAGCUCCCGUGCAUCUGAGUUUGCUCUUAUCUACUCCCUCCGUUCUAAAAUACUUUGCUCUUAUCUACUCCCUCCGUUCUAAAAUACUUGACUUUCCUUUGUUUAAAAAUGGACGUGCCUAUAUACUAAAACAUGUCUAGAUAAAUCUAUAUUUUGACAAAUGAAAGGCAUGUAUUGUGGAACGGAGGGAGUAGGUGGCACUUGCAUUUUGCUCCAAGCUAGAACUUGGCUCUGUUUGUCCUGGUACCUUCGAGAAUCAAAGCCAUGCGUAUGACUCUUCCCUAACAAGAGCAAGCUCUUUUUGUAAGGCACCUCUCAUUUUUAUUCUUCUAGAUACUCUGGGUAUUUUUGGACAUUCAAAAUACUGACAGUUUGGUACCUCCGGCUGCUUAGCGCGUGUUUGGGCUGCUUCCCAUUCUGUCAUUCUUAUCCGAUACUUUUGGUUUUAUUUCUCAGU
Molecule: long non-coding RNA, 1179 nt
Organism: Triticum dicoccoides
Lineage: Eukaryota; Viridiplantae; Streptophyta; Magnoliopsida; Poales; Poaceae
Exons: 4
Source: RefSeq, a predicted model, not a curated record